RNAcentral lists this ribosomal RNA (443 nucleotides) under uncultured bacterium. RNAcentral describes it as "partial 16S ribosomal RNA". It matches the Rfam family "Bacterial small subunit ribosomal RNA", at positions 338 to 795 of the family's 1533-position model. The record is from RNAcentral.
CCUACGGGAGGCAGCAGUGGGGAAUAUUGGGCAAUGGGCGCAAGCCUGACCCAGCAACGCCGCGUGAAGGAAGAAGGCUUUCGGGUUGUACACUUCUUUUGUCAGGGACGAAGCAAGUGACGGUACCUGACGAAUAAGCCACGGCUAACUACGUGCCAGCAGCCGCGGUAAUACGUAGGUGGCAAGCGUUAUCCGGAUUUACUGGGUGUAAAGGGCGGGUAGGCGGGGAAGCAAGUCAGAUGUGAAAACCACGGGCUCAACCUGUGGCCUGCAUUUGAAACUGUUUUUCUUGAGUGCUGGAGAGGCAAUCGGAAUUCCGUGUGUAGCGGUGAAAUGCGUAGAUAUACGGAGGAACACCAGUGGCGAAGGCGGAUUGCUGGACAGUAACUGACGCUGAGGCGCGAAAGCGUGGGGAGCAAACAGGAUUAGAUACCCCUGUAGUC